AUACUCCCUUUGGCAGCACAUACACUAAAAUUGGCGUAAUAGAGAGAAAAUUACCAUGGCUCCCAUGCAAGGAUGACACAAAAAUGCACAAUAAAGUGCUCCACAUUUUC
Molecule: small nuclear RNA, 110 nt
Organism: Peromyscus maniculatus bairdii (prairie deer mouse)
Lineage: Eukaryota; Metazoa; Chordata; Mammalia; Rodentia; Cricetidae
Source: Ensembl